Pocillopora verrucosa is the source of this 394-nucleotide non-coding RNA. NCBI's taxonomy places the organism in Eukaryota, Metazoa, Cnidaria, Anthozoa, Scleractinia, Pocilloporidae. The record is from RefSeq and is a predicted model, not a curated record.
CCGAAAUCUCUCGCACAGUUGUCUUGUUUGUUGCGUAACUGAAAAUGUUGGCUUAGUUGAGUAAUAUUUGGAAGAACUGUAGUUGAUAACUUCAAUGCAAAUGGAGGUUGGAAAUGAUGCUCGAAAUUUAAGUAUCGCUUCUGGAGAAGAAGAGGAAGAACUUCUCUUUACAAUCACAAACUCGACGAAAUCAUUGGAAGGCUCAUCCGGCUCAGCCAUGUUGCAUUUGAUUGAGAACAGUGAUAAUGAACGGAGUCGUCUACACUUUUGCCAAAAAGGCCGUCCACGUGCUUCAGACGUCCCAGUGACAUGCGCUCCUUGUGAAAUUGGGGUUAGCAUGCUAAUUUAGCUGGUGCGUCAUGCUCAAACAUAGGCAGUCAAAAUGAGCUCAUGU